This 253-nucleotide ribosomal RNA is filed under the name uncultured bacterium. Its description in RNAcentral is "partial 16S ribosomal RNA". It matches the Rfam family "Bacterial small subunit ribosomal RNA", at positions 524 to 776 of the family's 1533-position model. The record is from RNAcentral.
UACGUAGGUGGCAAGCGUUAUCCGGAUUUAUUGGGCGUAAAGGGAACGCAGGCGGUCUUUUAAGUCUGAUGUGAAAGCCUUCGGCUUAACCGGAGUAGUGCAUUGGAAACUGGGAGACUUGAGUGCAGAAGAGGAGAGUGGAACUCCAUGUGUAGCGGUGAAAUGCGUAGAUAUAUGGAAGAACACCAGUGGCGAAAGCGGCUCUCUGGUCUGUAACUGACGCUGAGGGUCGAAAGCGUGGGUGGCAAACAGG